RNAcentral lists this transfer RNA (74 nucleotides) under Scolytinae sp. BMNH 1043123. Its description in RNAcentral is "tRNA-Thr". The record is from RNAcentral. Lineage: Eukaryota; Metazoa; Arthropoda; Insecta; Coleoptera; Curculionidae.
GUUUUUAUAAUUUAAAUAUAAUAAAAUACUGGUCUUGUAAACCAAAAUUAAGAUUAAUAAAAUCUUUAAAAACA